CCUACGGGCGGCAGCAGUGGGGAAUAUUGCACAAUGGGGGAAACCCUGAUGCAGCGACGCCGCGUGAGUGAAGAAGUAAUUCGUUAUGUAAAGCCCUAUCAGCCGGGAAGAAAAUGACGGUACCUGAGUAAGAAGCCACGGCUAACUACGGGCCAGCAGCCGCGGUAAUACGUAGGGGGCAAGCGUUAUCCGGAUUUACGGGGGGUAAAGGGAGCGUAGGCGGCAGUGCAAGGCUGGAGUGAAAAGCGGGGGCCCAACCCUCGGACUGCCGUGGAAACUGUACGGCUGGAGUGCAGGAGAGGUAAGUGGAAUUCCUAGUGUAGCGGUGAAAUGCGUAGAUAUUAGGAGGAACACCAGUGGCGAAGGCGGCUUACUGGACUGUAACUGACGCUGAGGCUCGAAAGCGUGGGGAGCAAACAGGAUUAGAUACCCGUGUAGUC
Molecule: ribosomal RNA, 440 nt
Filed under: uncultured bacterium
Lineage: Bacteria
Description: partial 16S ribosomal RNA
Rfam family: Bacterial small subunit ribosomal RNA
Source: RNAcentral